UGAACGCUGGCGGCGUGCCUAAUACAUGCAAGUCGAGCGAACAGACGAGGAGCUUGCUCCUCUGACGUUAGCGGCGGACGGGUGAGUAACACGUGGAUAACCUACCUAUAAGACUGGGAUAACUUCGGGAAACCGGAGCUAAUACCGGAUAAUAUAUUGAACCGCAUGGUUCAAUAGUGAAAGACGGUUUUGUUGUCACUUAUAGAUGGAUCCGCGCCGCAUUAGCUAGUUGGUAAGGUAACGGCUUACCAAGGCAACGAUGCGUAGCCGACCUGAGAGGGUGAUCGGCCACACUGGAACUGAGACACGGUUCAGACUCCUACGGGAGGCAGCAGUAGGGAAUCUUCCGCAAUGGGCGAAAGCCUGACGGAGCAACGCCGCGUGAGUGAUGAAGGUCUUCGGAUCGUAAAACUCUGUUAUUAGGGAAGAACAAAUGUGUAAGUAACUAUGCACGUCUUGACGGUACCUAAUCAGAAAGCCACGGCUAACUACGUG
RNAcentral lists this ribosomal RNA (495 nucleotides) under uncultured bacterium. RNAcentral describes it as "partial 16S ribosomal RNA". It matches the Rfam family "Bacterial small subunit ribosomal RNA", at positions 30 to 507 of the family's 1533-position model. The record is from RNAcentral.